UAAAUGGUACGCUGCCACUUUAAGACCAAUUUCAGCUGCUGCAUAUAAGCAGGCCUCUACCUGCCACAAGACUACUUGCGUCAUGACGUCAACUCAUUCUGCUUCCUUUGUUUGCUGAACUGUGCUGGGUAAGCGUGGCUGUUUCUUUGUUUGUCAGCUUUUAUCGUAGCAAUUAAUGCAAGCUGGUCUGAUCUGUUUAGCCUCCCUUGCUGCUCCUCCAACUCCUGGACCAAUCUGUUCGGUUGUUUGUUUGUUGCCGGGAAGCUGCGCUCCAUAGGCGAACUUGUGGAUCUGUUUAUCUGGCAGUGUGGUAAUUUACAGGUAAGCAGCUACCGUAAGUUAUAGUUUUUAUCAGCAGUAGUAUUAAUAAUCUACUUUAUUUUUUAGCCUCCUGCUGAGUCCCUGACGACUAUUAUAUUUGGAUGUACACUCGCUGCUGUUUUGCCUACGAUGAAUUGUUUUAAAAGAUUUGUAUGAACUUUCCCCCGCUGCCGGGAGCAUUGAUGGCACUACGAACGGGA
Long non-coding RNA from Xiphophorus hellerii (green swordtail), 521 nucleotides. RefSeq lists it as uncharacterized. Lineage: Eukaryota; Metazoa; Chordata; Actinopteri; Cyprinodontiformes; Poeciliidae. The record is from RefSeq and is a predicted model, not a curated record. The transcript has 2 exons.